This 798-nucleotide ribosomal RNA is filed under the name Lactococcus sp. CW2153. RNAcentral describes it as "bacterial SSU rRNA". It matches the Rfam family "Bacterial small subunit ribosomal RNA", at positions 32 to 814 of the family's 1533-position model. The record is from RNAcentral. Lineage: Bacteria; Bacillati; Bacillota; Bacilli; Lactobacillales; Streptococcaceae.
GAGGCAAGGGGGCGUGCCUAUCAUGCAAGUUGAGCGCUGAAGGUUGGUACUUGUACCGACUGGAUGAGCAGCGAACGCGUUAGUAACGCGUGGGGAAUCUGCCUUUGAGCGGGGGACAACAUUUGGAAACGAAUGCUAAUACCGCAUAACAACUUUAAACACAAGUUUUAAGUUUGAAAGAUGCAAUUGCAUCACUCAAAGAUGAUCCCGCGUUGUAUUAGCUAGUUGGUGAGGUAAAGGCUCACCAAGGCGAUGAUACAUAGCCGACCUGAGAGGGUGAUCGGCCACAUUGGGACUGAGACACGGCCCAAACUCCUACGGGAGGCAGCAGUAGGGAAUCUUCGGCAAUGGACGAAAGUCUGACCGAGCAACGCCGCGUGAGUGAAGAAGGUUUUCGGAUCGUAAAACUCUGUUGGUAGAGAAGAACGUUGGUGAGAGUGGAAAGCUCAUCAAGUGACGGUAACUACCCAGAAAGGGACGGCUAACUACGUGCCAGCAGCCGCGGUAAUACGUAGGUCCCGAGCGUUGUCCGGAUUUAUUGGGCGUAAAGCGAGCGCAGGUGGUUUAUUAAGUCUGGUGUAAAAGGCAGUGGCUCAACCAUUGUAUGCAUUGGAAACUGGUAGACUUGAGUGCAGGAGAGGAGAGUGGAAUUCCAUGUGUAGCGGUGAAAUGCGUAGAUAUAUGGAGGAACACCGGUGGCGAAAGCGGCUCUCUGGCCUGUAACUGACACUGAGGCUCGAAAGCGUGGGGAGCAAACAGGAUUAGAUACCCUGGUAGUCCACGCCGUAAACGAUGAGU